AGGUCAACAAGACCAAAAAAAGUAAAAUGUAGUAAAACCACAACGAAAACGAACCGAAAUCGGCUCAUGUUCGAUCUGGUCCAAGACCCGACCUUCCCUCUCGCCGGAUCAGUGCUUCUCUCAGUUUGAAUACUAGAGGUAUUGGUUCCAUUGUGACAAAUUCCCAAUUGGAUUUAUAAACUUGAAUUGAUUGGUCUCGCAGCAAGCAAGAGCGAUUGGAGUUCCUCUAUGAUUCGAGAUUGGCCGUAGGGCGCCCCGGUGGCUCUGAUAAUUUCAAGGAAGCUUUUGAAAACCGUCUUCUUUCUCCGCCACUGCAAAAGUAUUUAUAAUCUUUUUAGAUUACUGAUUGUACGCAUUGAGAGGUAUAAAAUUUGAUGAAAGUUGCGAGGUUCUGAACUUCUGAUGAUUUGUUUAUCUCUGCUUCAGGAGGCGUCAUCAUCUGUGCCGGGGUUGGUGGUGGGGAUAACAACGGAGGAUCAGAUAAUGGAGCAGCCUUUAAUGAAGGAUUUGGCGAUGAAUAUCAGCUUGGUGAUGCUAUGGAGACUUGAUCCGGCUGGUCGCAAUGCAUGUUUGGGUAGUGAAACAACAACAUGGACUUCAAACAAUCAGGUCUUGCGGAGAUGCCUGCUCUAGUUCUUCAAAUGACUUACUUUUGGUGAGGCAGACAUCAUUCUUGCUGCAAGAAGUCCCUUGAACAGGGGGUUGUACAUCUCACAAUUGGGGACUUCCGCAAGGAUUUGAAAGGUGUGACCCCUAGGUCCUAGGAUGAGGAUCUCGACUUGAAUCACUCUGAGAAUUAUUUUGGGAGCGAAUGUUAAGAGAUAAGAACAGAUGAAGGAGCUCUUAUCAGUUUGCCUACCAUAGCUGAAGGGGUAGGUUCACUCUGGAUCAGGCCAUUAAGAAGAAACUCGAUUGAGAUUAUGAAUCAAUACAUAGUUGUGUACUAUGAAAUACUAGUGGUCUUUGUCGUGCUAUGAGAAUGCAUUACAAUUUGGGAUUGGUAUCUACAAUUUGGUGUUAGAGCUUCUGUUAAUUAUGGGUUUUCUUGUUUGCAUGUUUCAAGAAUAUUGGAGCAGUUACUAGGAAAAUUUCUUCUUGUGAAGAAGAUUCAA
Rosa rugosa (rugosa rose) is the source of this 1112-nucleotide long non-coding RNA. RefSeq lists it as uncharacterized. The record is from RefSeq and is a predicted model, not a curated record. Lineage: Eukaryota; Viridiplantae; Streptophyta; Magnoliopsida; Rosales; Rosaceae. The transcript is spliced from 3 exons.